Molecule: transfer RNA, 65 nt
Filed under: Alima pacifica
Lineage: Eukaryota; Metazoa; Arthropoda; Malacostraca; Stomatopoda; Squillidae
Description: tRNA-Arg
Source: RNAcentral
AGGUAAAAAGCGAACUAUUGCACUCAGUUUCGACCUGAUUUUUGGUGUUAAACCACCUUUACCUA